ACCAAUACGUUGAUAGAUUUUAACAAAUUUUUCUUUUAAUGAUAACGUACUCUCGGUGCUUUUUGAUAUUUAAUUAUGUAAAUAUGUUUGGAUUUUUGAUCACAAUCAGUAAAGUAGAAUAGUUUUUUAUCAGUUGUAAUGACUUUUUUCCCAGUUUAUCUUAACAAAUCUAUAAAUUUCUUCUGAUUUUGUAAACCUCUCAAUUGCUCAAGGUUAUAAUGCACGUAAACAUCCUUUUGAAACUUUUUUUCAAAAUUGAACAUUUUAUCAUUGUAACAUUUAAUUGACUUUCUCGAUAUUUAAGCUUUUCUAGAUAACUCUGAAAUAGUUGGUGGUUUGUCUUUUUAUUAAUAAGUUUUUCAUCUGAAAAAGUUAACAUAGAUUUAGCUUUAAUGGUCAAUGCCAAUGUUUAACUUUUUUGCCAUUUAAAUCAUCUUUUCUUUUAAUUCUCACCACUCACAAAACUGUACUAAUGGUGGUUAUUAAAACUUCGAUUGAUUCCUUUUCUAAAAAUUUCUUAAUCGUUCUAUACCAAUAUCUAAAUUGUAACAACAAUCAAAUAUGUUCUUUAGUAUUUUUUUGACUUUUUUUUUUUGUCAAAAUGCUUUGUUUACAUUAUUCUUUUUUUUUUUCUAACUACUUUAAAUAUAUGAUUAAAUUAUAAAUAAUAUUGUUAAAUAUUGUUUAAACAAAAAGUAAUUAAGUUUCAAAAUUGUUUCCAUUUCAAUGUCUAAUAUAAAAUAUUUAUAUCAUUUUUGUGUUUAUAUUUGUUUAUAUUUAGAUAAAAAAGCACUUAAAGGUGUAAGAGUUAAAAAUCUAUCAAGGCAGAUAUUAUGCAAAACAAAACAAAAAAGGAUCCAAGAUAGUGAUGACAAUGGACCAGAUAGCUGGCUGAAGGUUAGACCUAAGUGUUUAUUUAUUGCUCAAAGGAGUUUUUAACUUAAUCCAGAGUUGUUUGUUGCUUGGCCUAGUUAAAUCACUCAUAUUGAGUAACAACUCUUAGAUUUAGAGUUGACUUGAAAUGAAAUAGAAAGGAAAAACUGUAUUUUUGUGUAUUUGGAUUGAUUUUGAUUUACUUAUAUUUAUAUUUGUUAUUUAACCAAUAUAUAUUACUUAAAGAUAAGUUUUUAAGUAUAUCUAUAUUGUAAAUGUAUAUAGGAAUAUGUAAUAUAAUUAUAUUAUUAUGUGCUUCUAUAUACUUUAUCAAAGUUAUUAAUAAUUUUUUAGAAAGUGUUUAUUACUUUACUAUUUUUUUUAUUUAUCUGUGUAUUUGCUGUUAAAGUGAAAUGUAAAUCACGGAAAUUUUAAUAUCUUUUAUGUAAAUCAAAGAAAAUUUGUUUUCAGAAAAUAUUUUC
This is a long non-coding RNA of Hydra vulgaris (swiftwater hydra), 1355 nucleotides long. RefSeq lists it as uncharacterized. The record is from RefSeq and is a predicted model, not a curated record. NCBI's taxonomy places the organism in Eukaryota, Metazoa, Cnidaria, Hydrozoa, Anthoathecata, Hydridae.